Molecule: ribosomal RNA, 423 nt
Filed under: Arthrobacter sp.
Lineage: Bacteria; Bacillati; Actinomycetota; Actinomycetes; Micrococcales; Micrococcaceae
Description: bacterial SSU rRNA
Rfam family: Bacterial small subunit ribosomal RNA
Source: RNAcentral
GAUGAACGCUGGCGGCGUGCUUAACACAUGCAAGUCGAACGAUGAUCCCAGCUUGCUGGGGGAUUAGUGGCGAACGGGUGAGUAACACGUGAGUAACCUGCCCUUGACUCUGGGAUAAGCCUGGGAAACUGGGUCUAAUACCGGAUACGACCAUCUGGCGCAUGUCAUGGUGGUGGAAAGCUUUUGUGGUUUUGGAUGGACUCGCGGCCUAUCAGCUUGUUGGUGGGGUAAUGGCCUACCAAGGCGACGACGGGUAGCCGGCCUGAGAGGGUGACCGGCCACACUGGGACUGAGACACGGCCCAGACUCCUACGGGAGGCAGCAGUGGGGAAUAUUGCACAAUGGGCGCAAGCCUGAUGCAGCGACGCCGCGUGAGGGAUGACGGCCUUCGGGUUGUAAACCUCUUUCAGUAGGGAAGAAGCC